ACGUAGGUGGCAAGCGUUGUCCGGAUUUAUUGGGUUUAAAGGGUGCGUAGGCGGUAGCCUAAGUCAGCAGUGAAAUACGGCAGCUUAACUGUCGAGGUGCUGUUGAUACUGGGUUACUUGAGUACUGAUGAGGUAGGCGGAAUGGACGGUGUAGCGGUGAAAUGCUUAGAGAUCGUCCAGAACACCGAUAGCGAAGGCAGCUUACUAAGGAGUAACUGACGCUGAGGCACGAAAGUGUGGGGAUCAAACAGGAUUAGAUACCCUGGUAGUCCACACUGUAAACGAUGAUUACUCGAUGUGUGCGAUACACAGCACGCGUCUUAGCAAAAGCGAUAAGUAAUCCACCUGGGGAGUACGCCGGCAACGGUG
RNAcentral lists this ribosomal RNA (369 nucleotides) under uncultured bacterium. Its description in RNAcentral is "bacterial SSU rRNA". It matches the Rfam family "Bacterial small subunit ribosomal RNA", at positions 525 to 896 of the family's 1533-position model. The record is from RNAcentral.